This 126-nucleotide microRNA precursor is filed under the name Myotis lucifugus (little brown bat). RNAcentral's name for it is "mir-9193 microRNA precursor family". It matches the Rfam family "mir-9193 microRNA precursor family". Lineage: Eukaryota; Metazoa; Chordata; Mammalia; Chiroptera; Vespertilionidae. The record is from Rfam by way of RNAcentral.
CAUGCACCAGUGGGGUCCCUCAGCCUGGCCUGUGCCCUCUUGCAAUCUGGGACCCCUUAGGGGAUGUCGAAGAGCCUGUUUUGGCCUGAUCCCACAGGCCAGGCCGAGGGACCCCACUGGUGCACA